Molecule: long non-coding RNA, 295 nt
Filed under: Mytilus galloprovincialis (Mediterranean mussel)
Lineage: Eukaryota; Metazoa; Mollusca; Bivalvia; Mytilida; Mytilidae
Source: RNAcentral
GGGGCCCUUGAUAGCUUUCAGUUCGGUGUGAGCCAAUGCGUGUUGAAGUCCGUACUUUAACCUGUAAUUGUUAACUUUAUAUAUAUACAUUGUUAUUUCGAUGGAGAGUUGUCUCAAUGGCACUAAUACCACAUCUUCUUAUUCAUAUGUAUAUAUAAAAACUAACAAAUCCUUGCAGAAAAUACAUACUCAGUAUACUAUUUGCAGUUAUAAUUAUAUGAAAACCGUUUUAUAAUAUUUAUUUCCACCUAUGUUAUCGAAUGCACAAGUCUUUUUGGAUAACGCUUCACCAAAG